This 124-nucleotide unclassified non-coding RNA is filed under the name uncultured Hannaella. RNAcentral describes it as "sequence contains ITS2". Lineage: Eukaryota; Fungi; Basidiomycota; Tremellomycetes; Tremellales; Bulleribasidiaceae. The record is from RNAcentral.
UAGACUCAUCCUCUCGGGUUUCCGAGUUGGGUGUUUUGGACGUCUGCCAUGCUUUGGCUCGUCUUAAAUGUCUAAGUGGAAUGCGUAAUAAGUUUUCGCUCCCUCCACUCUAAUACACUUUUAU